Raphanus sativus (radish) is the source of this 539-nucleotide long non-coding RNA. RefSeq lists it as uncharacterized. The record is from RefSeq and is a predicted model, not a curated record. The transcript is spliced from 2 exons. NCBI's taxonomy places the organism in Eukaryota, Viridiplantae, Streptophyta, Magnoliopsida, Brassicales, Brassicaceae.
ACAAGAGCAUUUCUCAAAGUAUAAGCUUGUAAGUGUUCUUGAGAGAUUAGAAGCUAGGUUUAAACCAAGAUAGAUACUGAAAAGGUCUUGAGGUUAAAAUACACUUGUAAUCUCUGAUAUCUAGUGGAUUCCGGGAUACCGUUCCCGGCUCAGACUAAUACCCUCGUUAACGGGUGUAACUGGAGUAAACAUAAAGGUUCGAUCUUGGUGUGUGUGUGUGUUGAAGGUUGAAGCAUCGGAGACGUCCAAAGGCGGAGACUUUCCUCACAAGUUCGAACCCCAAGUUUCUUUCAGAAGUCUAGAGGCCGGACGUGUUUUAUAACACAUUCCACUAAAAACCGUUUGGAUUUGGGAAACAUAUGCCAGAGCUACACCAUUGUAUAUAAGAAACAUAUACAUACAUGUCUAUCAACGACUGUUUCAACAAUUUAUAUUAGGUUUUCAAUCUUUUAUUAUGGAUGCAUGAUGCAUCACAAUUUUCAAUGGUGAAACUUGGUUAAAUGUAAUAUGGUUUAGUAUGGUUUAAAGUUUUACCAAUU